UAUCCUUCUAAGAUAUAUUUCUAAGGAACAGAUUAAGCUUAAUGACUUAGUGGUAUAUUUUUCUGCUGUGCUGGGUCCUGGUUUCCCGAGGUUCCAGGUUCUACCUCAUUGGUCCCUUGAAGUUCGAUCGACUCAAUUGCAAAUCGGUACUUCAUAUUGGAGAGUAAGCCCGAGCCUAAAAGACUUAGAUGCAAAUAAUACCAUCACUUACGCCAUGAUCGCACCUGUUGUUAUUUGGACCUACCUUUUUUCUUUGCUUCUUUCUUUUAAGCACAAGGUAAGCAGCAUUUCGGUAUCAACCUUAGCUAAAGGAACUAUUGAAUGUUCGGAUCGAAAAUGCUGUUUAAAUCAUAGAUAUGCUUGGUCUAUUGAUGCCUUUAUUUAUGCAUUACGCAAUCGUUUUUCAUAGAUUUUCCCUCAUGUCGAGUUUUGUAGGCACGGAUGCAUGCUUUUGCCUUGAGUUGCAUGAAGAGUUGGUUAUGUCGUAUGAUAUAGAUUAUCGAGUCAUGUUACACGACCGAUAUCAUCAUUGAAUGUUAGUUGAUGUCAGAAAAGCAUAUCUACUGGAAUAGAAGUUGUAGUGGUCUCAUAUACAUGGACAUUUUAACGAUAUAAUCACUGAAAAGGACCUUAAUGGUACAGGAUGUUUAAAGCUUUCAUUCAUUGAUCCAGAUUCUUGCCUUGUUGUUGAUGAAUCUGUCAUCGAACUUUCUAAUGCGGUGUCUCUGUUCACUAUCUUACUGCGGUGGAAGUUCUUUCUUUGGGUCCCCUCUCUUUGUGAAGUCAAAAAUGAUCACCCAUUAAGUGUCGUUCGUUGAUCAGGGUUCGAAUGGCAUGCAACGAAGCGCAAUCCUCUUUAAGCUCGAAACAAGCAGUAGUCGCAUAUCAGCUUCCGAGACAUCCAAACUCCUUUGUUCAUGAAUUUUAGCUGAGUUUCCAUGUUCAAGUUACACAUACUUGCAACUUCUGAGGUUUACUGCUCUGCUCGAAUUAAUGAAUCUGGGUGUGCCCGUUGACUUCAUGGUCAUGGAUUUGCUGUUGCUCUUCUGUGCAAUCGCCUUCCUCAUCGGUAUGUACUAAGUACUAUGCAGAUAGAAAUGCUACAUGUACUAAAUCUUACGGACUCAGUUUGUUCAGUGUAUUAAUACGACUUGGUGCACUAAAAUGAUGUGGGAAUGCUUGUGGCAUUGUUCUUUUUCCUGUCUAUGCACAUGGUAUAUGCAGAUGCGGUAGUUUUGAGAUAUUUUAGCAUCCGAUGAAUUGAAAAUCAUGUUUGACUGUUUAUUUCAAACUCACUUUGUAACUGAGCUCACCGUGAUUUUAGCUGAAUCAACGGACCCACAUCGCUGUGUCUCGUACAGACAAUCUCAACUCAAGAGUCGUUGUUUACUUCCAUUUCAAGAUGGUGUCAAGGACAUGUUGAAUAUGGACACUAGCCUUUGACUUAUUCUCUCUCUCUCUCUCUCUUUUUAUCUCUCUUUUUACGAAGAGAUAAGAGGAUACGAAGACGCCCAGGAAAGAUCUGGAACUGCUACUGUGUUCGGAUCAGCGUCUCCUGUUGCAGCGAUGAGUCGAAAAGAAAAUUUGCAUCUCCGAAACAUCUGUUAAGAUCCAUUUUU
This is a long non-coding RNA of Syzygium oleosum, 1619 nucleotides long. RefSeq lists it as uncharacterized. The transcript is spliced from 2 exons. NCBI's taxonomy places the organism in Eukaryota, Viridiplantae, Streptophyta, Magnoliopsida, Myrtales, Myrtaceae. The record is from RefSeq and is a predicted model, not a curated record.